GAUGAACGCGGCGGCGUGCGUAACACAUGCAAGUUGAACGACGGUGCCAUGAAGUGGUAACACGGAGUGGUAUACGGAGUAGCGGACGGGUGAGUAAAGCAUGAGAAUCUGUCCUGUCGAGGGGGAUAACGUUCGGAAACGGACCCUAAUACCCCAUAGUCCGAGAGGUUAAAGGCAGCGAUGCGCGGCAGGAGGAGCUCGUGUCCUAUCAGCUAGUUGGUGAGGUAACGGCUCACCAAGGCUUCGACGGGUAGCCGGCCUGAGAGGGUGACCGGCCACACUGGAACUGAGAAACGGUCCAGACUCCUACGGGAGGCAGCAGUGGGGAAUAUUGGGCAAUGGGAGGAAUCCUGACCCAGCGACGCCGCGUGAAACGAAAGACGGCCU
RNAcentral lists this ribosomal RNA (387 nucleotides) under Synergistetes bacterium oral taxon 360. RNAcentral's name for it is "bacterial SSU rRNA". It matches the Rfam family "Bacterial small subunit ribosomal RNA", at positions 28 to 417 of the family's 1533-position model. The record is from RNAcentral. Lineage: Bacteria; Thermotogati; Synergistota.